Molecule: microRNA precursor, 69 nt
Filed under: Octopus bimaculoides (California two-spot octopus)
Lineage: Eukaryota; Metazoa; Mollusca; Cephalopoda; Octopoda; Octopodidae
Description: Obi-Mir-12524_pre stem-loop
Source: RNAcentral
ACAUCCACAUGUUGUUGACUUGCCAAUUUCCCCUUCUCACAGUACCGAGUCAACAACUUGUGGAUGUGU